Molecule: ribosomal RNA, 268 nt
Filed under: uncultured prokaryote
Description: partial 16S ribosomal RNA
Rfam family: Bacterial small subunit ribosomal RNA
Source: RNAcentral
CACGUAGGGGCGAGCGUUGUCCGGAAUUACUGGGCGUAAAGCGCGUGUAGGUGGUUCUGUAAGUAGGGCGUGAAAGCUCCCGGCUCAACUGGGAGAGGCCGUUCUAAACUGCAGAGCUAGAGGAUGGUAGAGGGAGGUGGAAUUCCAGGUGUAGCGGUGGAAUGCGCAGAUAUCUGGAGGAACACCAGUGGCGAAGGCGGCCUCCUGGACCAUUCCUGACACUCAGACGCGAAAGCUAGGGUAGCAAACGGGAUUAGAUACCUCUGUA